Molecule: ribosomal RNA, 492 nt
Filed under: uncultured bacterium
Lineage: Bacteria
Description: partial 16S ribosomal RNA
Rfam family: Bacterial small subunit ribosomal RNA
Source: RNAcentral
AGUGAACGCUGGCGGUAGGCCUAACACAUGCAAGUCGAGCGGCAGCACAGUAAGAGCUUGCUCUUACGGGUGGCGAGUGGCGGACGGGUGAGGAAUACAUCGGAAUCUACUUUUUCGUGGGGGAUAACGUAGGGAAACUUACGCUAAUACCGCAUACGACCUACGUGUGAAAGCAGGGGAUCUUCGGACCUUGCGCGAUUGAAUGAGCCGAUGUCGGAUUAGCUAGUUGGCGGGGUAAAGGCCCACCAAGGCGACGAUCCGUAGCUGGUCUGAGAGGAUGAUCAGCCACACUGGAACUGAGAAACGGUCCAGACUCCUACGGGAGGCAGCAGUGGGGAAUAUUGGACAAGGGGCGCAAGCCUGAUCCAGCCAUACCGCGUGGGUGAAGAAGGACUUCGGGUUGUAAAGCCCUUUUGUUGGGAAAGAAAAGCAGCAGGUUAAUACCCCGCUGUUCUGACGGUACCCAAAGAAUAAGCACCGGCUAACUUCGUG